Molecule: long non-coding RNA, 1331 nt
Filed under: Drosophila melanogaster (fruit fly)
Lineage: Eukaryota; Metazoa; Arthropoda; Insecta; Diptera; Drosophilidae
Description: long non-coding RNA:CR46216 (Dmel_CR46216)
Source: RNAcentral
GUGUUACAAAGUUUUAGAAACACGUGCUUAAUUUAAUGCUUGGCUUUUCUUCAGAGUCCAUUUAUUUACAAAUAAAUAAAAAACUAACAAAGGACAUGAGGGCAGUGCGUAAUAAACGAAAAACUCAGGCCAAACUUCAGGUGAAGCAACUCACUUCGUUUGAUAAAAGGCUCAUUGAAUUGGAGCGGCGUGUAAAUGGCUUAGCCAGAGAGGUUCGAGAAUACAAAAUCCAGUAUAGUGAGCCCUCCAAACAGUUUCAAAACUUUGAAUACCUAAUUGUGGAGUUGGUAGAAGGACCGAUUUUGGUGGAUAGCUCUUGAUUUUCCAAAGGAUCAAGAGGUCCAGAAACAUAGGGCACAAGGCCUAAUGUAAUAAUAGUAACGAAGAUAUAGCAGUCUCUAAGUGAAAAAGUACUUCUAAUUACUUAAAAUGUUAUAAUUCUUUUGAAUCAAUUAGUUUAAGUGUUAAGAAACAAAAAAUUCAAAGUUAAUCUGAAAAUGUAAGAAAAAAUAUGCAUUUACAUAGAAAUCUAAGCCACAGAAAGUAAAAAUUACUUUUAAAUGUUAUACCAAAAAAAAUGCUCAAAUUGUAAGCCCUUAUAAAUAAGAAGUGACAGGUAUAAUGCCGUUUUUAGUUCCUUUAAAUUGACCAUAUUAAUCCAUAAAACUUUACUUGUUAAGCACGCGCUGUAAAUCAAUGUUUAAGGAACUUACUUAUACGUAUAUGCUCAGAUUUUCAUUUUCCAUUGUACGAUUCGAAAGUUGAAGCUCAAAUCGGCGUGUAUAGCCAGCAGGAUAUGCCUGAAAACCUGAUCAAAUAUUUUGUCACGACCAACAAUUUCCUGAAGGGACAGCUCUGGGAUGUGCCAGUGUCCAAAUAUUAAAUGCCAUUGUGACAAACGCCGCCAACUGGCUAUGAAACAGCCAACUAUUGUCGAUGAUGAGGACAUGGUGGCCCAGACCACCGGGAACGGGAGAACUGGGACUCGAAUAGUCGCCGCUUGCAAUCAGUGGAUGGGUGUGACAAACGCAGUUGGCAAUUUCUUCGUUUAACAUGCAAAUUUCAACGAUUUUCAAUCACAACUCGGCACUCACUGCAGUUCCCUCUGCAUCAUUUGGGCAGUGCUGACGCCUUAGAUAGAUUUAAGUCUGCAAAACACCAUUUGAAAUGUAUUGUAAGUCACUAAUGAAACCAUCUACUUAGACCAUCUACAAUGACAACAAAGCUCAAAUACGGGCUGAUUUAAUGAAUAUUUACACUAAUUGGCAUUAAAAAGUUGAUAGACAUAUAAGUAUAGUAAGGUUAUUAAGUAAAUUUGGGAUAAUGUAGCC